AAAAAAUUGGAAUCAACAAAGCUCAAUUGACCUAGAAAUGAAAAUGCACAAGUAUGACAUCAAAUUGUGUGACACACAUUGUCACACCAUAUAUUCAUGUGCCUAAAACAGAGAUGGAAAAUGAUAAAAAUGCACAACCAAGCCUCAAAAAUCAAGCAACAUGUUAGGAAUCAGCAUAUCAAAUUUCAAAGCAAUUGGCCAAUGUAUGAGCAUUUCAC
This 218-nucleotide long non-coding RNA is filed under the name Lathyrus oleraceus (garden pea). RNAcentral's name for it is "Pisum sativum (pea) long non-coding RNA (PSAT_LNC036432)". The record is from RNAcentral. Lineage: Eukaryota; Viridiplantae; Streptophyta; Magnoliopsida; Fabales; Fabaceae.